Molecule: ribosomal RNA, 750 nt
Filed under: bacterium
Lineage: Bacteria
Description: bacterial SSU rRNA
Rfam family: Bacterial small subunit ribosomal RNA
Source: RNAcentral
UUGAGAGCGGCGGACGGGUGAGUAAUGCCUAUGAAUCGGCCUGGUAUUGGGGGAUAACGUUCGGAAACGGACCCUAAUACGGCAAACGUCCUACGGGAGAAAGCAGGGGACCUUCGGGCCUUGCGCUAUCUGAUGAGCCUAGGUCGGAUUAGCUAGUUGGUGGGGUAAUGGCUCACCAAGGCGACGAUCCGUAACUGGUCUGAGAGGAUGAUCACUCACACUGGAACUGAGACACGGUCCACACUCCUACGGGAGGCGCCAGUGGGGAAUAUUGGACAAUGGGCGAAAGCCUGAUCCACCCAUGCCCCGUGUGUGAAAAAAGUCUUCUGAUUGUAAAGCACUUUAUCUUGGGAGGAAGGGUUGUAUAUUAAUACUCUGCAAUUUUGACGUUACCGACACAAUAGCCACCGGCUAACUCUGUGCCACCAUCCGCGGUAAUACACAGGGUGCAAGCGUUAAUCGGAAUUACUGGGCGUAAAGCGCGCGUUUGUGGUUUGUUAAGUUGGAUGUGAAAUCCCCGGGCUCAACCUGGGAACUGCAUUCACAACUGACUGACUAGAGUAUGAUACAGGGUGGUGGAAUUUCCUGUGUAGCGGUGAAAUGCGUAGAUAUAGGAAGGAACACCAGUGGCGAAUGCUGACCACCUGCACUAAUACUGACACUGAGGUGCGAGAGCGUGGGGAGCUAACAUGAUUAGAUACCUCUGGUACUCCACGCCGUAGACGAUGUCAACUAGCCACUUGGAAGCCU